AGCCCGGUGGUGUAGUGGACAAGCUAAAGCCCACUUGAAGAGCUUUCGGUUAAGGCAUCCAGGGCUUUGGACCCUGGGACCGCAGUUCGAAUCUGCGCCGGGCUACCA
RNAcentral lists this transfer RNA (108 nucleotides) under Candidatus Freyarchaeota archaeon. RNAcentral's name for it is "tRNA-Gln". Lineage: Archaea; Promethearchaeati; Candidatus Freyarchaeota. RNAcentral also lists the same sequence under 1 other name. The record is from RNAcentral.